Molecule: unclassified non-coding RNA, 1501 nt
Filed under: Helicoverpa zea (corn earworm)
Lineage: Eukaryota; Metazoa; Arthropoda; Insecta; Lepidoptera; Noctuidae
Description: mediator of RNA polymerase II transcription subunit 28, transcript variant X1
Source: RNAcentral
CACGCAUUACCUACAAAAUAAGGUCCACUCUAAGUUCACUUCUGUCACGGAGGCAUAUAAACAAACAGUGUUGUGUUAAAUGUGCCGGGAAAAUGGCGGCCCCGUCAAACGGUAGUGGUAAUUUAGUGGAAGAAUUCGAAGAAUCUUUUCAGGCAUGUCUGAACGUGCUGACGAAGCAGGAAGCAUCUCCUUGCGUGGAGAAGGAGGAGGUGAAAGUCGAAGUCGAAAGGUUCAUCGACCUCGCCAGGCAGAUGGAGGCUUUCUUCUUACAAAAGAGAUUCCUGUUAUCCGCAAUGAGGCCGGAGUUACUAGUGAAAGAAGAUAACAAUGAACUGAAAUGUGAACUCCAAAGAAAGGAGGAGUUACUCAGAAGACAUUACGACAAGAUCAGCCAGUGGCAGAACUUGUUAGCUGACUUACAGGGCCACACGGUGUACAACAAGUGCCAGCAACAGACUGCUCAGGCGCCGCCCGCUGUGCAACAGGCGCCUGCGCCCCAACAUGUGGUGCAGCAGAGCGUGCAGGCACAACAAAUGGCAGCAGCCGCGGCAGCACAACAAGCCGCGUUGCAACAACAGGCAGCGUUGCAGCAACAGCAGGUACCUCGCCCCCCGCACCCGCCCGCGUAUCCCGCGAACGUGCAGCGACGGUAGUCUGACUCGAAGUGAAACUCGAUCUGAUCUGAACGCAUACCUGUCAGAUUCGACCACGGCGAAUCAAUCGAAUAAGCAUGAUGACUGAGAAAAAUAAUUAGUCCGCCUUUUAGAUAACCCUGAAAUGAAGGACACAUAAUAUCUAUUAUUUGUUUUCUCUCAAAAACAGGAUAUAGGUAAUACGAUAAAAUGUUUGUGUUACGUCACUUCUAAGUACAAAUUUUACACAGACGUGACGUCACACCCCAGCGGGGCCCAGCAGGGCCAAGGCCUGCCGGGGCUGCGGGUUGUUCGAAAGAGAUACCGCGGCCCUGGUACACAAAAGGCCUAUGACGGAACACGACGGUUUUUAGUCAGUAAGAGUCUGACACUCCCUCACCGCUGCUAACCCACAGCGGGAGGGGUCAUUUGAUGAUUUUUGACGUCGUUAAAAAAAAAAAAGACGUGACGUCACAAGUACUCUCAAUGUUUGUCACUUUAGGUAUAUCUUAAUAAAUAUUUAAUGUUUUGCGAAAAAUGCCGAUCCAAAAUGCGGACUAAUUAGGAUUACUAUUUUUUUUACCCUGUCAUUAUGCCUAUCCUGUCAAAUGUAAUGUAACCUUUGCCGCCGCAGUCGUGGCCGAGGCCUGACAGCUGUGCUUUCACCAUUAAAGUAUUUGUGCUGGUGAUUUUUUUAAGUCACUGUCAGUCAAGUGAUAGGUGAUUUCAAAACAGACAAGUUUUGAGCAAAUGUAAAUUGUAUUAUUAAGUAAUUCUAAAAGUAGGUAUUUAAGCAGUUUUUUUCUUUUGUUUAGUAGAUAGAUGCAACUUUGAUUUUCUUUAAAAUAUAUUUUGAUUUUUUAAUAUUA